CUCCGGCCGAGUCCAGCACGCUCGUCGGCGGCGCUUCAGAUUCGGGCACUUAUCCGACCCGUCUUGAAACACGGACCAAGGAGUCUAGCGUGUGCGCGAGUCAUUGGGUGUAAAACCUAAAGGCGCAAUGAAAGUGUCAGAGGGCGCCCCGCGUCCUCUGUGGGAGGAUGGGCUCCCGGCUUCCCGGCCGGCGCCCCGCACUCCCGGGGCGUUUCAUUCUCAUCACGAGUCGAAACGCACCAGGAGCGCACACGCUGGUACCCGAAAGAUGGUGAACUAUGCCUGGCCAGGACGAAGCCAGGGGAAACCCUGGUGGAGGUCC
This 322-nucleotide ribosomal RNA is filed under the name Savius diagonalis. Its description in RNAcentral is "partial large subunit ribosomal RNA". It matches the Rfam family "Eukaryotic large subunit ribosomal RNA", at positions 591 to 876 of the family's 3401-position model. The record is from RNAcentral. Lineage: Eukaryota; Metazoa; Arthropoda; Insecta; Hemiptera; Coreidae.